GGGACUGUAGCUCAGUGGUUAGAGCACGGGUCGCGGGUUCGAUUCCUGCCUGUUCCA
This is a transfer RNA of Serendipita vermifera MAFF 305830, 57 nucleotides long. It matches the Rfam family "tRNA". From Rfam's summary of the family: Transfer RNA (tRNA) molecules are approximately 80 nucleotides in length. Their secondary structure includes four short double-helical elements and three loops (D, anti-codon, and T loops). The record is from Rfam. Lineage: Eukaryota; Fungi; Basidiomycota; Agaricomycetes; Sebacinales; Serendipitaceae.